Molecule: long non-coding RNA, 235 nt
Filed under: Calidris pugnax (ruff)
Lineage: Eukaryota; Metazoa; Chordata; Aves; Charadriiformes; Scolopacidae
Description: lncRNA (ENSCPUG00000010450.1)
Source: RNAcentral
GCCGGAGCAGCGGCACACGCCAUUGAGGUGCUGAGGAGCUGCCCCAUGCCCAAGGAGAGGACGACGGUGAUGCCCACCCUACAACUCAUCGCCUUCAUCCUCUGCCUCACCACCUGCGUCCUGUGGGGUCAAGCUUCAUCAGAGCAGAGAGUGAUGGAGAAUGACAUGGAAGAGUUGCUGCAGCAGGGCUGUGGCAGCAGCCCCCGCGCCAGGGAGAGGUGAGCACCAGCUCCCG